RNAcentral lists this ribosomal RNA (91 nucleotides) under Sinocyclocheilus rhinocerous. The record is from RNAcentral. Lineage: Eukaryota; Metazoa; Chordata; Actinopteri; Cypriniformes; Cyprinidae.
UGCCACAGCCAUAUCACCCUGCAGCCCAAGACUGGUUGCCCACUGAAGCUAAGCAGGGUUGAGUCCUGCAAACUGGUGGUUGUUGUGGUUG